GGGGAAUAUUGCGCAAUGGGGGCAACCCUGACGCAGCCAUGCCGCGUGAAUGAAGAAGGCCUUCGGGUUGUAAAGUUCUUUCGGUAUUGAGGAAGGUUGAUGUAUUAAUAGUACAUCAAAUUGACGUUAAAUACAGAAGAAGCACCGGCUAACUCCGUGCCAGCAGCCGCGGUAAUACGGAGGGUGCGAGCGUUAAUCGGAAUAACUGGGCGUAAAGGGCACGCAGGCGGUUAUUUAAGUGAGGUGUGAAAGCCCCGGGCUUAACCUGGGAAUUGCAUUUCAGACUGGGUAACUAGAGUACUUUAGGGAGGGGUAGAAUUCCACGUGUAGCGGUGAAAUGCGUAGAGAUGUGGAGGAAUACCGAAGGCGAAGGCAGCCCCUUGGGAAUGUACUGACGCUCAUGUGCGAAAGCGUGGGGAGCAAACAGGAUUAGAUACCCUGGUAGUCCACGCUGUAAACGCUGUCGAUUUGGGGGUUGGGGUUUAACUCUGGCGCCCGUAGCUAACGUGAUAAAUCGACCGCCUGGGGAGUACGGCCGCAAGGUUA
RNAcentral lists this ribosomal RNA (546 nucleotides) under uncultured bacterium. Its description in RNAcentral is "bacterial SSU rRNA". It matches the Rfam family "Bacterial small subunit ribosomal RNA", at positions 356 to 896 of the family's 1533-position model. The record is from RNAcentral.